UUCUCAGAAAACCCAAAAGGAAGGGCGAGA
Molecule: non-coding RNA, 30 nt
Filed under: Rattus norvegicus (Norway rat)
Lineage: Eukaryota; Metazoa; Chordata; Mammalia; Rodentia; Muridae
Source: RNAcentral